Molecule: small nuclear RNA, 107 nt
Filed under: Neotoma lepida (desert woodrat)
Lineage: Eukaryota; Metazoa; Chordata; Mammalia; Rodentia; Cricetidae
Source: RNAcentral
GUGUUCACUUCAGUAGCACAUAUGCUGAANUUUGAACAACACAGAGAAGAUUAGCAUGGCCCCUUUGUAAGGAUAACCAACAAAUUCAUGAAGCAUUCUCUAUUUCU